GAUCAUGGCUCAGGAUGAACGCUGGCGGCGUGCCUAAUACAUGCAAGUCGAACGAGGUAGCAAUACCGAGUGGCGAACGGGUGGGUAACACGUAGGUAACCUGCCCUUAAGCUUGGGAUACCCAGAGGAAACUUGGCUAAUACCGGAUAACAACAGAGAAGGCAUCUUCUUUGCUUGAAAGGCCCUUCAAGGGUCACUUAAGGAUGGACCUGCGGCGCAUUAGCUAGUUGGUGAGAUAACAGCCCACCAAGGCGAGGAUGCGUAGCCGAACUGAGAGGUUGAUCGGCCACGUUGGAACUGAGACACGGUCCAAACUCCUACGGGAGGCAGCAGUAAGGAGUUUUCGGCAAUGGGGGAAACCCUGACCGAGCAACGCCGCGUGAGCGAUGACGGUCCUUUGGAUUUGUAAAGCUCUGUUGUAAGCCAUGAAUGACAGCUUGAGGAAAUGCAAGUUGUUUGACGACAGCUUACCAGAAAGCCACGGCUAACUACGUGCCAGCCGCAGC
RNAcentral lists this ribosomal RNA (506 nucleotides) under uncultured bacterium. RNAcentral's name for it is "bacterial SSU rRNA". It matches the Rfam family "Bacterial small subunit ribosomal RNA", at positions 15 to 518 of the family's 1533-position model. The record is from RNAcentral.